UACGUAGGGUGCGAGCGUUAAUCGGAAUUACUGGGCGUAAAGCGUGCGCAGGCGGCCAUGCAAGACAGAUGUGAAAUCCCCGAGCUCAACUUGGGAACUGCAUUUGUGACUGCAUGGCUAGAGUACGGUAGAGGGGGAUGGAAUUCCGCAUGUAGCAGUGAAAUGCGUAGAUAUGCGGAGGAACACCGAUGGCGAAGGCGAGCCCCUGGACAUGUACUGACGCUCAGGCACGAAAGCGUGGGGAGCAAACAGG
RNAcentral lists this ribosomal RNA (253 nucleotides) under uncultured bacterium. RNAcentral's name for it is "partial 16S ribosomal RNA". It matches the Rfam family "Bacterial small subunit ribosomal RNA", at positions 524 to 776 of the family's 1533-position model. The record is from RNAcentral.